This 407-nucleotide ribosomal RNA is filed under the name uncultured bacterium. RNAcentral describes it as "partial 16S ribosomal RNA". It matches the Rfam family "Bacterial small subunit ribosomal RNA", at positions 28 to 526 of the family's 1533-position model. The record is from RNAcentral.
GACGAACGCUGGCGGCGCGCUUAACACAUGCAAGUCGAGCGAAGCGGCGGACGGGUGAGUAACACGUGAGUAACCUGCCUUAGACAUUGGGACAGUCUCGGGAAACCGGGAUUAAUACCAAAUGGUCUAAGAUGGACUCGCGUCCCAUUAGCUAGCUGGUGAGGUAACGGCCCACCAAGGCGACGAUGGGUAGCCGGCCUGAGAGGGUGAACGGCCACAUUGGAACUGAGAAGCAGUCCAAACUCUACGGGAGGCAGCAGUGGGGAAUAUUGCACAAUGGAGGGAACUCUGAUGCAGCGACGCCGCGUGAGCGAAGAAGGCUUUCGAGUCGUAAAGUUCUUUUAUAUGGGAAGCGGUACCAUAAGAAAAAGCCCCGGCUAACUACGUGCCAGCAGCCGCGGUAAUUC